UUCCGGUUGAUCCCGCCGGACCUGACUGCUAUCGGAUUGAUACUAAGCCAUGCGAGUCAUUGUAGCAAUACAAGGCAGACGGCUCAGUAACGCGUAGUCAACCUAACCUAUGGACGGGAAUAACCUCGGGAAACUGAGAAUAAUGCCCGAUAGAACACUAUAUCUGGAAUGGUUUGUGUUCCAAAUGAUUUAUCGCCGUAGGAUGGGACUGCGGCCUAUCAGUUUGUUGGUGAGGUAAUGGCCCACCAAGACUAUUACAGGUACGGGCUCUGAGAGGAGUAGCCCGGAGAUGGGUACUGAGACACGGACCCAGGCCCUAUGGGGCGCAGCAGGCGAGAAAACUUUGCAAUGUGCGAAAGCACGACAAGGUUAAUCCGAGUGGUUUCUGCUAAAGAAACCUUUUGUCGGUCCUAGAAACACCGAUGAAUAAGGGGUGGGCAAGUUCUGGUGUCAGCCGCCGCGGUAAUACCAGC
Molecule: ribosomal RNA, 473 nt
Filed under: uncultured archaeon
Lineage: Archaea
Description: bacterial SSU rRNA
Rfam family: Archaeal small subunit ribosomal RNA
Source: RNAcentral